Molecule: unclassified non-coding RNA, 414 nt
Filed under: Coemansia pectinata
Lineage: Eukaryota; Fungi; Kickxellomycota; Kickxellomycetes; Kickxellales; Kickxellaceae
Description: partial internal transcribed spacer region
Rfam family: Eukaryotic small subunit ribosomal RNA (bases 1-46)
Source: RNAcentral
AAGUCGUAACAAGGUCAUCGUAGGUGAACCUGCGGUGGGAUCAUUAAAUAAUCUCAACCUUUGGGGCUAUUUUGCUGUGGGUGUGGUUGUUUCUUUAGUGCUUUGGGAAUGUGUGCUUUCUGUUAUGGAUGGCGUGCUUCUUGGAGGACGAGAGAUGGCUAUUGCUUGCAGCAGAGCUCUGCUUGUGUGAAUCUUGUAUGUUGCCUGGAGAGGAUAUGUCAUGUAUCUAAUCUGGCAAUGUGAGAAUAGUUUUGGCGGGUGUAUUGUGAGAGUACAUAACAUGUGCUGUUAUAAUCCCCGCCAGCUGUUCUCUCUAACAUAAACACUAUCAAACAACCAACAAACAUAUAUCACGAGGACUAAACACCCUCAUCAAUUAAUUUACAACUAUCCGUGGUGGAUCACUUGGCUCUU